UGGGGAAUUUUGGACAAUGGGCGCAAGCCUGAUCCAGCCAUGCCGCGUGAGUGAAGAAGGCCUUCGGGUUGUAAAGCUCUUUCAGCCGGAAAGAAAUCGCACUUGCUAAUACUAAGUGUGGAUGACGGUACCGGAAGAAGAAGCACCGGCUAACUACGUGCCAGCAGCCGCGGUAAUACGUAGGGUGCGAGCGUUAAUCGGAAUUACUGGGCGUAAAGCGUGCGCAGGCGGUUUUGUAAGACAGAUGUGAAAUCCCCGGGCUUAACCUGGGAACUGCAUUUGUGACUGCAAGGCUAGAGUACGGCAGAGGGGGGUAGAAUUCCACGUGUAGCAGUGAAAUGCGUAGAUAUGUGGAGGAAUACCGAUGGCGAAGGCAGCCCCCUGGGCUAACACUGACGCUCAUGCACGAAAGCGUGGGGAGCAAACAGGAUUAGAUACCCCAGUAGUCCCUGAGCGGGCUGGCAAGGCGCAU
Molecule: ribosomal RNA, 472 nt
Filed under: uncultured bacterium
Lineage: Bacteria
Description: bacterial SSU rRNA
Rfam family: Bacterial small subunit ribosomal RNA
Source: RNAcentral